This 174-nucleotide non-coding RNA is filed under the name Agreia bicolorata. RNAcentral's name for it is "FMN sequence". It matches the Rfam family "FMN riboswitch aptamer (RFN element)". From Rfam's summary of the family: The RFN element is a highly conserved domain that is found frequently in the 5'-untranslated regions of prokaryotic mRNAs that encode for flavin mononucleotide (FMN) biosynthesis and transport proteins. This element is a metabolite-dependent riboswitch that directly binds FMN in the absence of proteins. The record is from RNAcentral. Lineage: Bacteria; Bacillati; Actinomycetota; Actinomycetes; Micrococcales; Microbacteriaceae.
UACGUGCUCCGGGGUCGGUGGAAUUCCGAACCGGCGGUUAUAGUCCGCGAGCCGCAGACGACGCGUUCUCACCUCGAGAACGAACACCCUGCGGUUGACCUGGUGAAACUCCAGGACCGACGGUAACGAGGCGAGAUUCUUCGCCUCCAAAGUCCGGAUGAGAGGAUGCACGCG